This is a long non-coding RNA of Marmota monax (woodchuck), 3952 nucleotides long. RefSeq lists it as uncharacterized. Lineage: Eukaryota; Metazoa; Chordata; Mammalia; Rodentia; Sciuridae. The record is from RefSeq and is a predicted model, not a curated record. The transcript has 3 exons.
GCUGGAAUCAAAAAAGACGGACAAUUAUUUGUUAGUGGUGACUAUCAUGUUUGCAUGCACUAGGCUGAUGUUAAUUUUUUUUCUUUUUCUUUUUCUUUUUUUGAAUGGAAGAGUACUGGGAUUGAACCACCCAUGGACACUGUACUCCUCAGCUACAUCCCCUGCCCUUUGUUCAUUUGGAGACAAGGUCUCACAAAGUUGCUGAAGCUAGUCUUGAACUUGCAAUCAGUCCUCCGGCCUCAGUUUCCAAAGGAGCUGGGAUUACAGAAACAAAGGAUGGAGUCAUACUCUCUUCUGGGAAGGCCUGCUCAGCUAACAUCAACUCCGUAAUCAGAUACCACGUGGCCUCUCCUCCAUGCUGUCUCCCAGAACAGUUGCUCAGCAAAUGACAAGUCAGCUGUACCUUCUGCCCUUGGAUUUUUCAUGUGGAUUAGAGAAAUUUCCCUUCUUUUAGAGUGACCGUGAAAGGUGAAAAUCAGGCCACCAAGAGCAGCAGAUGAGCAGGACAACCUCGGGGAACACCAAGAACCAUUGGGACUGGGCUCAGUGCAUGCCAGUGGGCACAGGAGGGCUUCUGCUGAGUCUCUCCUGCAGCUCCCAUGCUCACCUGAGAAUCUGAAUCUCCACUCCCACCCACUACUGUCCAAAUCGUCACCUUCAAGGUAAUCAGGACUUUCAAAGGACCACAAAGUCAAAACUAUUUUCAUCAUAUUUAAGCAUGUUUUUCACUUUCAGUCUUGAGUGUCAAGUGGAAAUUUCCAGAGGUUACCUGACAUGUGGUGACCUCAUCAUUCUGAGGACCAAUGAAAUGUGUGCUCCUGUGUUAUGAAAAUUUCACUGUGUUGAUUUUAUAAUACAGUAAAUAUUGAAAUUGCAACCUACAUAAAAGCAAAAACUUGGGAAUCCUCAAUCACUUUUAAGAGUGUAAAGAAGUCUUACACCCAAAAUUGUGUGAACCCCUGAGUUUUCUGUAUGUCCACAGUGACUGGCAUCCCCUAAGAAGGAGAAAUCAUGUGUGUAGUUAUAAUUGCUCUCCUGUUCAAAACUUUCACUGACUUAGGAGUAGUGAGGCGGUGCUGAAUAUAUGAUCAUUUUGGAAACAAACUGAUGUACAAAUUCUAGUUUGACUGCUUACUGGUUAUGUGACCUAGGCAAGUUACUUAAACUUUCUGAAUACAGGGACCUGUCAUGGCUUCAAACAGUAUUUAAUUCCUCCCCAUUCUCCAACUAUCACUCAGGUAUUCCCAACCAAAAGAAACACCCAAAUAAGAAAAUUAUCAGUUUUACUAAUAGUUAGGCAAAUGUCUAAAAUUCCAACUUCAUAAGAUGUGGAUAGAUAAAUGAGGCCAAGAGUUCAAGCAAGGCUUCCUUCUCUCUGUUCUAUGACAUCUUGAAUGAUCCACUUUCUGAGCAGCCUCCUAGUCUAUUUACAAGCUGCCUGGACAGCACUCCCAAGCCAGCCCUCCCACACAGUCACAGAGGACACACACAGGAAUGCACAAUGAAGAGAAGGUACAGAGAGCAGCAGAAAGCACUUCAGAGUCCUUCAAUUCUGUUGCCUAGAGGAAGAAGAACAUUCACACACCAACCAUAAGAUUAGCUAUUUUCCAACAGGGUGAGUAAUCAAUUAGAGGCAAAAACACCAGCAUUACAAUGGAAGGAUCUUCCAGUUUCACUAAAACCCCUAAUACCUACAGCACCUGUUAUAUGUCAGUCACUCAAGAAGUGAUAAUGCAGAGUACUAUAUGGUGGAAUUAAUGGAAAAGGAACCUUAAAAAAAUAAAAGACCCCAAACUUUCAUAACCUCAGUCUUGUUUAUGGGAGCAUAAAGGACACUGGAAGGUAUGAAGUCCACCUUCCCAAGAGAAGGCAAACAUCUGUAGCACUUUGUGUACUUGAAGUGUUGAAGCCUCAUUCCUACUAAUUCCUGUUAUUUGCACGGUUUUAGGAUUAUAACUGAAGAAAUGGGAAAACCUCCAAGAUGGACAGACUUCAUUCAAAUACCUAUGCAUUCUGGUCCUACCAGUUAGGGAAGAAUGAAGAAAAGAAUUAAGGACAGACCCAGGCUAUAACUCAGUUAAUUGUCUCCCAGCUAACGCUGAAGCAACCUGGGUGGAGUUCCAGGCCUUCCUCUAUCCAGCUAAAACAAUAAAGUCAAAAUAGGUCAUGCAGCUCCCAAGAAGGUCUCACUUUGAACUCCAGGAACUUAGGUUGCAAAACUGAUAGCAUUUAUAGAAGAGGACUUUUGACAAGGCUCAACAAGGCCUCCCAGGAAAGCUCGGAACAUCUGCAGCACUGGCUCUUUCCCCAACCCAAAUCUCCAGGUUAUUAGCCUUCUCAGUCAGCUGAGAAGUGCCCUAAUUCACUCAGCAUGUGGCCCUGUCCUCAGUAGAAAGUCCUUUAAUACCCGCAAGACUGAGAGAGGAAUAGAAAUGAUAAAGUAAACGGUGUCAGAAAUUUUAAGUUAUUUAGAGAAUUCCGCAUAUCAAAGCAUCUGACAGAUUGAUUUAUCUGACAAUUCCAAUUUAAAAUAUGUGAUUGAAUAUAAUAGAUUUUUAGACAUGAUUUUAACUUAAAUGAUUUACUUUUCUUGUACCUACUACUAGAAUAUAUAAAAGAAAUUGAGGCUUACAAUAUUUGAAAUUUAAUUUAUUAAAUUAACCAGAGCAUUUUAAAUAAUUAGAGAUAAAUGACUUGUUCAAAGCACUUAGUUCUUAAGAAAGGCAAAUCAAUUAAAGUUUAAAAUAUAUAAAGGGCUAUAAUUAAUCAAGUUAAUUAGUAAACUCUUCUAAUGUUAUUGGUAACAUUUACUAGAUUUAUGAAUAGAAUAGUAAUUAUGAGCUGAAUGUAGUAGGUCAAUUAAAAAUUUUUUUAGUUCAUAAUUUUAAUACAUCAAAUUUUAAUUUAAAGAAAAAAAAGCAACUGCAAAUAUUCUUCUUUGCAAAUGACAUCAGCCCCCAACACCACCAAACUCACAUGACAUUUUUGACCCUGGGUUUCUUUUGAUUCUGGAAUCUCAGCAUUUGGUCUUCUGCAGAACAAAGCCCUAAUCCAUAAGAAGCCAGCUUUUUAGGAAGAAAAAUUAUUAACAUGUCAAAUGUGAAUCUAUUUCCUUACUAUAUUUAAUCUCCAGGAAUAGACUAAUAAAAUAAUAAAAAGCCUCAAUUCAAAUUAGCAACUGGUACUUCAUUCCAUUAUCCAAAACCAUUACUACAUAAUUUAUUGGCUGGCAGUAAGGAAACUCCUUCUCUGUUUGCCAUUCAGGUAAAUCAAGUUCUGGUUGUCUGUAUCUCUAUCCAUAUUGAUCAAAACUACACAGAGGCUCUCUCACUCCCUGUUGCUCUCUGUAUUACUUUAGAAUAACUGAGACAACUGGUUACAGAAUUAUCUACAAAUAUUUACAAUUUGGGUUCCAUAUAAGAUGGAAGAGAGAGAUUGAAAAGAAAGAUAUAGAAUGUAGUAGAAAUGGUAAUAUCCUUUAGUGAGGGGUCAAGAUAUAUAAUUUGAACAUUUCUGAAACUGAAGAAUUAGAAAUAGUCUGUCUAGUGUAUUAUUUAAACUUAUACGCAUAAUCAAUAAAAGAACUGAAAUUAUAAAUUAUACACACAUGUACAAAUCUGCACUUCUGUAUAUAUCUAAAAACACUACUAGGAAGAAGAUAAAAGGAGAGAUCAGUGUGUAAAUAACCUUAUAUUCAUGCUAAAGAGAAAAUAUACAUUAUAUGUUGUAGAUAUAAUAAAUUUACUCAAUAUAUUAUAAAUCAAAAAAAUACUAUCAAAUACAUUACCUGAAUGGUACUGCCCAAUAUAGUAACUACAAACCAAAUGAGGCUAUUAAGCACUUAAAAUGUGUUUAAUCAAAUUGACAUGAGCCACAAGUUUAAAUAGAUUUGAAAAUAAUAGAAAAAUGUAAAAUAUUUCAGUAAUAAUAUCUAUAUGGAUUAUGUGCUGAA